GCGAAGUCACGCAAGGGGGGUUACCGCCAUUACUAACCCUCCUACCUUUGAAUGGUGGCUUGGUGGUUUGGUGGGUGUGUAGCUAGCUGAAUAAGGCAUCGUUUGUUUCCACACUCUCUCCUCUAUUUAAAUUGAGAAACGUGGACGCAAUCAUUACUGCAUUAAAUGGUUAAGUGGUCUUAUUAUUCAUCACCCAAACAGAGCCCCUCUCUCCCUGCCUAAUCUUUAUCUUUGUUCACCUGCCUUCUUCAGUUCUUCAGCUAGUACACAUGCAGCUGAAUAGCUGAAGCACAAGCUGCAUCCAAACUCUCUUCCACUCUAGCAAUCUGUAAGUUUAUCUUUCUCUCUGUGUUAUAUAGUAUUAUUUAUAUAUAUUUACAAUAUAUAUGUGUUUUGUGAUAUAUUGUUUUGUAUACUAGUAUAAUUUGAUACAAGAAAAAUACCCAGUUAGAGUUUUGUUGGGGUAAGAUGUGAGGAUGUAUUGAUUUCUAAAUGGAGUUCUUGAAUGAGAUUUCAGAUAUCAUAUUUGACCGUGUUUGGGCUAAUUCAUUAUACAGAUCUAUCUAUAUAUGUUUUCCUCCUUUAUUGUUCUAUUAUUUUCCCUCUUUAUUCUUCAUACUACUUUGAUUACUGAAGAAAUAUUCGGAGUAAAGUAAAAUUACGCUUUAUUUUUCUUGAUUCAUUGUUUUCUUCCUUUUAGGUAUAUAGUAAUUAUAAUAUACUCCCUCGGUCCCUCCCUUCCAAAAGAGAGUUUAUUCCUAAAUUUAAUAAUUAUUAUUUUACUACUACUAGUACUAAGAUAUUGAAAAGUAGUAGCACGAUGAUGGAGUGGUGUGGCCUGCUAAUAACCAAUAGAUUAAUGAGUAAAAUACACUAACACCCCUUUUAAAUAACCAUAAUAAAGUUCAUCUCCCUCUAGUUUUUUAAAUAACAGGUAGGAUCCCUACAAGUUUUGCAUUUGUUUUGGCUCCACUUGUGCACUUUUAGCAACACGUAUUGCUCUGUCAUUAUUAACCUACUUAAUUUAAGCACAAAUUCUAAGAGCCAAAAAGGAAAUGUUACCAAAAUAUACUUGUUGACCGCAUAUAAAUUUUUAUUUAAAUGUGAUUAUUAAACUUUAAUAUGACUAGAAAACCCUAAUUUAAUUAGGAAACCCUAAUUAUAUUUUUGAAAUCUUAAUUUUCUAAUUAAAACCCUAAUUAGAAAAAAAAUCUUAGAAACUAAAGUUGUAGAACCUGAGGGUUAGAACCUUAGGAUUACCCUAAGGGUUUGGAGAAAUGUCAAGUAUGCCAUUAAAAUUAAAAUGCAAAUGACCAAAUUGCCCUUUUUAUAUUUUUAAUAAGCUAACUUGCAAAUUUUGCCAAAUUUGUAGUUGUUCGCCAACUAAAGCUAGCCUUUUGACUUAAAUCUUAGCUACAAUCUAAUCUAGAGGGACACCUUGCAUUACAUACAUUUAAUGUAUCUAACUUAGAGGAUUAAAGGGAGAGAAAGUUUUAACUUUUGCUCAUUUAGCUAUCAAACACUCCACUUACUUUUCUCUCUCCCAAACCUCCAAAAUAUUAAAGUGUAUAAGUCCCUAAAACACCUCUUAGAACACUAAGAAUAGUAGGAGAGAUCAAAGAUCAAGGAUUGGACAAGAACGUAUACACCUCUAAAUCUACUUUGAUCUUGUAUGCUUAGUCAAAAAUCAUGUUUAUGUGUUUAUCUAUGUGCUAAUUAAUGGAUGUUUUAUGAUGAUCUAUGAUGAUCCAUCAUAGAUUCAUAGCAUCAAAAGGCUUUAAAAUGAUGAUUUUCAAAAACUGUUCUUGAACUCAAAAUGUGGUCUGACAAGCGAAUGUCAGUGGUUGUAAAUUCUUGUUUGUCUAUUAUUUUUAUUGUUUUAAGCUUUGAAUGUGUAGUCUGACAUGAGUACUUUGAUCUAGAAAUGGAAUCGUAGCUAUUGGAUGUCCAGCUUUUAAGUUAUAAACUGCGAGACCCCAAAUUUUAUGAAUAAAAAUUUAAAUUUCCCGAAUUUUUUAUAUAUUAUGGAGUAAAUUUGAUAUAAUGUUAUAGUUGUGGGUAAUAUUUAGAAAUUUUUAAAAGUAUGCAAGUUGUUAUAUAAUAUUCGAUUGGUCGGGGAAUAUUCAUUUUAACAAGGAAUAUUCGUACGACGGCACAAUCAUUGGUGGACCCCACAACGGAAUUAUUGUCGGAUUGAGAAAACGACAAAAAUAUUUUUUAUGAAAAUAACGGCGGAAGUCUUACCAUUAACUGUUGAAACACCCGGUGUUAAAAGUAUAGUAAUACGUGUGGUUUCAUAGUAGCACACGGUAUUGAUUAUUGAUGCUUACGUGAGAAGUCACUCAGUUUUGUUCAAUUAUUGCUACAAUAAUUGUUGCAUAGUAUCUCACGUUAUUUGAUUCAAUUAUUGUCGAUAUUUUAUAUAUUAUUAAAUCAAUAAUUGAGAUAACAAAGUUAUUAAUAUUAUUAUUUGCAAUAUUAAUGAUGUCUAGAAAUUCUGCCAAGGAGAGGUUUGGUUAUUUAAUUGCGCGCCAAUAGGGAGAAAUCCUUAUUGAAAAGCCCCCUCUUUCCUGGGAACGAUCUGGUCGAUUAAUAUUGUGAAUUAUAAUAAUGAUGAUAAAUGUUGUUAAAUAUAUUGAGGUGUCUUUUUAUGAAGUCACGAAAGUAUAUUUAUAUAUAUAUAUAUAUAUAUUCUGUUUUAUUAGUAUUAUUAAUGUAAUAAAACAGAAAAGCUUUUUAUAUAAAACAAAAUACUUUUAUAAAGUUAUUUAUUUUAUUAGACUAUAAAUAGAAAUAUUAUAUUCUAUUAUGCGUAGUAUUUUGCAUAGUAAAAUAUUUUUAUAUAAAACAGAAUACUUUUAUAAAGUUAUUUGUUUUAUUAGACUAUAAAUAGAAUAUAUUAUAUUCUAUUAUGCAUAGUAUUUUGUAUAGUAAAAUCUUUUUAUACAAAACAGAAUACUUUAAUAAAGUUAUUCGUUUUAUUAGAUUAUAAAUAGAAUAUAUUAUAUUUUAUUUAAAAGAUUUUGUUUUAUUAGAAUAUUUUAUUAAUACUGCAUAGUAAAUCAAUAUGGACCGUCCGUUUAAAAGUAAAUCAAUCUGGACCAUUCAUGAAUUAGUUACUAUUCAGUUCAUUCUCCUAUAAAUAGAAGCUCAUUCCUUCAUUAUUUCUUACGAACUCACAAACAUUCUAGAGAGAGAAACUAUAGAGAGAAAGAAGAAAAGUAUUCUGCUACUUCACUACUCAUAUAGUCAGUUUCUUCUAAGGUAAGGGAUAUUAUUUGUUGUAUUCGUAAGGGGUAUUAUUUCUUUCGUAUUCAUGAAGAGAAUUAUUUUCUUUCAAUACUCGUAAGGGGUAUUAUUUAUUUCGUAUUCAUGAAGAGAACUUCUGUUAUUCCAUUCUUUAUUAUUCUGUUGGAAUAACCUGCAUACGCGGGCUACACUAUACUUGGUGAAAUUCUUCUGUUAUUCCAUUCUUUAUCAUUAUGUUGGAAUAACCUGUCUAUGCGAAGUACCGCAUACAUGGUGAAAUUCUUCUGUUAUUCCAUUCUUUAUUAUUCUGUUGGAACAUCAUGUCUGUGCGUUUACGCAUGACUUGGUUCCGUUAUUUAUUAUUCUAUUGGAAUAUAAUGUCUGUGUGUUUACGCAUGACCUGGUUCCAUUAUUUAUUAUUCUAUUGGAAUAUCCUGUUUGUGCAUUUGCGCAUGACCUGGUUCCAUUAUUUAUUAUUCUGUUGGAAUAUCCUGUCUAUGCAUUUACGCAUGACCUGGUUCCGUUAUUUAUUAUUCUGUUGGAAUAACCUGUCUGUGCGGUCUAUCGCAUGCCUGGUGAUUUCUUUCAUUAUUCCAUUCUUUAUUAUACUUAGUUGGUUAAAGUUGUGGCUUUUAUACUCCAUGAAAUUAUUGGAAUAUCCUUGAUAUUUUCGCUUCAUCUAGUAUAUUUUCAUGGAAAUUUUCUUCUGAGCUUUCUUGAGUUUUACCCCACAAAGAAGUAUCAUAUUGACAACUUGGACGUUAUUGGUUCCUGGAUAAAUUAAUUCUUGAACUUGUUUUAUUGAAUUCUUAUAUCAUUGUCAUCAUCCUCAUGUUUAUAUUAUGUUAAAAGUCAUUUGUGGCCUGUAGUGCAUAGAUGGACUUGGUAUGAUUAUGACCAGGGUUUAAUCGGUAUAAUCAUGACCGUAAUGUUACAAAUGAUGUGGUAAAAGUCCUCAUUGGCCCAUAGUGCAUUGAUGGACAGUUGUUGGCAUGAUCAUGACCAUUGAUGAAUACACGAAUAUCCUUGGCCCGUAGUUCAUGGAUAAUUUGUGGUUAUGAUACUAAUGAAUAUCCUUGGCCGUAGUGCAGGGAUGAUGUGGGUUAUUUAUUAAGCUGAGUCCCAGCAAUAAAAGUAAUGAAAAACCUUUUAAAUCAUAAAAGAUAGUAGAUUUUAUUCUCUACUUGACUCUUUUAAUGGAUUGCUUGUUCCGCUGCAGUUAAACUUGAUGUUUGUUAUAUUGUAUCAGUUUAACACUGUUGAAGGCUAACGAUAAUUUAUUCUGCAUUAUCUUAGUCAUAAUAUUUCUUACUGGGCUAGUUGAGCUCACCCUUUUUCUCACUGUUCUCUUCAGGAAAUGAGAACAUAGCAGGGACUAGUCGGGGAACGGAGUGACGGUCCAGAUGAUAGCAUUAGUAGUCCUCACUAUUCUAUGAAAUAGUGUGAUAAUAAAUGUAUUGAGGACUUAUUUUGAGUUUGAAUACUGUCUAGAAGACAAUAUUUGUAUUAAAACUCACAGCUCAUGUUGUAUAUUUAAGAAUGUAAUUGUAUUCUGUACCAUGUAUUUGGCGACUCAGAAUAGGUGAUGUAUACCUAUUUUGGGGGUGUCAUAUAAACGGUCAAAACCCGUUGACCGGGCAUGACCGGACGAUUUCUGGGUAACCCAGAAAUCGAUUUCCAAUGUCUGACAUGAUGUUUGAAGGCCCAGAUCUGUCAGAUAUGAUAUCGUUUGAUGAUGUAUUUGUAACCAGUUUGUAGCUUGUUAAAUGGACUAUAGAUCCUGGCCUUUAGAGCUCUUAAACAACACAUAUUUUGGUUGUAGUGGAUGGUUAAACUAAACCAUUUGAUCACGGAAGAAGUUUCUGGAAUUUCCAGAAACUGUUAGCUAGAGCCCUCUGACAAGGUUUGACUAGAUUCAAUCUUGUGGUUGUGUUAUAUUUGGACUGAGAUCUUGCUAUGUCGUUGUUCCUUGUCAUGUAUACUACAUGUAUGAACCAUAAAACCACCAAAAUAAAGAUCAAAACUCAGAUUAAAUUGACCUAGAAAGUGACCACUCGAACUACCUGAGUUUCUGGAAAACCCAGUUAACGUCUGACAGUGACUUUGCAUGGCCGGAUCUUAAUGAUGUGUUGAUGUAUGACCUAUAUAUUGGUUGAUAGUUGUAGUGGUGCAUACUUAAUACAAGAUCAACAUUUAAACUAGCCCAGAGCAGGAUUAUACUGAGAAUUAUAAGUUGGUCAAACCAUGACCCUUGCUAAGCCGGCUGUCAGUGUUCUUCAGGCCAAGAACACCUAAAACGACAGAAAGUGUCGCUAUAGGCUAUAGCGACGGUUUAAUUAAUUUCUAUUUUUUGAUUUUCCAGAAAUUAAUUUAUAAUAGAAAUAAAUUCUAAAAAAUUACAAAAAUAGUUUUAAAAAUUAUUUUAAAUUAUGAAAAAUAAAUUUUGACUAUUUGGGAUAUUUUUCAUUAAUAUUUAUAAUUAUUUGAAUAUUAAUGAUAUUUAAUUUAUUUAAUUAAUGUAUUAAAUAAAUUAGAGAAAAAUGAUUUUAAUAUUAUAAAAAUCAUUUUAAUAAAGAAUAAAGUAUUUAAAAAUAUUUUAAGUUAUAAAAUGUAACUUUUAAUAUUUUUAGAGAAUUUUCAUUAAUAAAUUAAUAUUAAUGAUAUUAAAUUUAUUUAAUUAUUAUAUUAAAUAAAUGAGUUAAAAAUGGUUUUAUUGAUUUAAAAAUCAUUUUAAAUGAGAAUAAAGUGUUAAAAAAUAUUUUGACUUAUAAAAUGUAAUUUUUAAUAUUUUUGGAGAAUUCUCAUUAAUAAAUGAUAUUAGAUUUAUUUAAUUAUUAUAUUAAAUAAAUGAAUUAAAAAUGAUUUUAAUGAUUUAAAAAUUAUUCAAAAAUAAGAAAAAUGAUUUAAAAAUAUUUUAUUAUAAUUAAUGACUUUUAAUAUUUUGAUGAUAAUUUCAUUAAUAUUUAUAUAUUAAUGGCGAGGGUUUAAAUAUGGUUUUAAUUAUUUUAAAAAUCAAUUAAGUAGAAUAUUGAUGAUUUAAAAACAGUUAUUAAUAAUAACUUUAAUAUUUUGACAAGUAUGACAUUAAUAUUUUUAUAUUAUUAAAUACUAAUGAUGAUAAGAUUAUUUGAUAAUUAAAUCAUUUAAAAUGAUUUUAGUGUUUGAAAAAUUAUUAUAAAUUAUAAUAAUUGUUUGAUAAUUAUUAAAAGCUUCCGAAAAAUAUUAUAAACGAUAUUUGACUUAUCUAAAAUAAUAUUGAAGCUUUGGAACUGAGUUUAAUUGACAAUCAAUGCGUUAAUUGUCGGAUAGGGUGACCAAUACACCGAGAAUAGACUGAAGUCUAACCAGAUCGAACUAGUUAGACUUGAUAAGUGUUUAUAUAGGUUAUAAACACUGAUGUGACUAUGUGGUAAUGUGCUUAGGAGAAAGAUUGAUUAUAAAUUAUAGUGUUGCGUGUUAUAAAUUAUUAUGCUAAUUAUGAGACCGAUAUUGUGAUUAUAGGUCUUUCAAACGCAAAUAAGUAUAUUGUGUAGCAGUAAUCAACGUGGAAGGCAAGUUUCCUAACUCAACUUUGAGUUAUACUUUUUAAAUAUUAUGGUGGUUAAUUAUUGUUGAUCAGACCACGUCUGAGAAUUAUUGUUGAUUAUUCGCAGUUAGUGCAUAUUUAUUAAUUCAAAUUGAAUUAGUGAUUCUGAAAAUAUACUUGGAGAGUAACUGUUGUUCGAUACUUACAUUCGUAGAAGCUAUUAUUGACAGUACAUAUAAUUCCUGUAUAUUGUUAAAUUGUGUCAAGAUAUGUCUUAGCUAAUUAUUCUGGCUAGACGAACAAUUGUUAGAACUCGAUAGGUUCGAGAAGAAAAGAGAAGAGAAUUCAAUUAUUAUUGAUAGAUCGAUGCCAAUUAUAUCGGCUAGAUCAAAAAAGAAAACUUGAUAAGUUUGAGAAGAGAAGAGAAGAGAAGAGAAUUCAAUUAUUAUUGAUAAAUCGAUGCGAAUUGUUUCGGCUAGAUCAAAAAAAAAAACUUGAUAAGCUUGAGAAGAGAAGAGAAGAGAAGUGAUUAGAUAUUGAAAUCAUUGUAUUUCAUUGUUGAAUCAAAUUCUGAUUUAAAGAUUGAGAAGAACAACCUUUUAUAUAAAGGGAACAUUUUUGGUCCUAUGUUGGCCUUUACGCGCAUUUUAAGUAUUAGGCAUAAUAUAGGGUAUAAUAAAGCUGAUCACUUGUUAUACUUGCAGAGGGGUAUGAUUUAAUCUUUAUGGUUAUCUAAUACACCUGGGUAUAUAUCAAAGUAAAUCUUUGAUAGCUACUUGAGAAGAAAAGUUCUAGAUCCUUUUUGAUCACUCAGCAUAAACUCUGGAAAAUAUUUCAAUCUUGUUAUUCCAUUGAAUAUUGUAGAGACCUUGAAAGCGUUGUACUAUUUCAUUAUCAAAUUAUUGUGUUGCAUAGGUUGCGAGAAGACUUGUUAGUGAUCAAUGAAUUGUUCAGCUAUUUCAAAGUUCCCCGAACUUUGG
RNAcentral lists this long non-coding RNA (7755 nucleotides) under Panax ginseng (ginseng). Its description in RNAcentral is "long non-coding RNA (PGIN_LNC007669)". The record is from RNAcentral. Lineage: Eukaryota; Viridiplantae; Streptophyta; Magnoliopsida; Apiales; Araliaceae.